GAACGGGUGAGUAAUACAUAAAUAAUCUACCAUAAUGACUGGGAUAACCAAUGGAAACGCUGGCUAAUACCGGAUAGGUAAAACGAGGGCAUCUUUGUUUUAUUAAAGUAGGACUACUACACAAUAUGAUGAGUUUAUGGCGCAUUAGCUAGUUGGUGAGGUAACGGCUCACCAAGGCGAUGAUGCGUAGCCGACCUGAGAGGGUGACCGGCCACACUGGGACUGAGACACGGCCCAGACUCCUACGGGAGGCAGCAGUAGGGAAUUUUCGGCAAUGGGCGCAAGCCUGACCGAGCAACGCCGCGUGAGUGAAGAAGGCCUUCGGGUUGUAAAGCUCUGUUGUAAGGGAAGAACACUUUUUAGAGGAAAUGCUAGAGAGUUGACGGUACCUUACCAGAAAGCCACGGCUAACUACGUGCCAGCAGCCGCGGUAAUACGUAGGUGGCGAGCGUUAUCCGGAAUUAUUGGGCGUAAAGGGUGCGUAGGCGGUUUAUUAAGUCUGUGGUGAAAGUGCGGGGCUCAACCCCGUAUGGCCACAGAAACUGAUAGACUAGAGUACAGGAGAGGGCAGUGGAAUUCCAUGUGUAGCGGUAAAAUGCGUAGAUAUAUGGAGGAACACCGGUGGCGAAGGCGGCUGCCUGGCCUGUAACUGAUGCUGAGGCACGAAAGCGUGGGGAGCAAAUAGGAUUAGAUACCCUAGUAGUCCACGCUGUAAACGAUGAUUACUAAGUGUUGGAGAAAUUCAGUGCUGCAGUUAACGCAAUAAGUAAUCCGCCUGGNNNGUAUGCACGCAAGUGUGAAACU
This 804-nucleotide ribosomal RNA is filed under the name uncultured bacterium. RNAcentral describes it as "bacterial SSU rRNA". It matches the Rfam family "Bacterial small subunit ribosomal RNA", at positions 100 to 901 of the family's 1533-position model. The record is from RNAcentral.